GGGCCCGUAGCUCAGUUUGGGAGAGCGCACGGUUCGCAUCCGUGAGGUUCGAGGGUUCGAUCCCCUUCGGGUCCACCA
RNAcentral lists this transfer RNA (78 nucleotides) under Caproiciproducens sp. NJN-50. Its description in RNAcentral is "tRNA-Ala". It matches the Rfam family "tRNA". Rfam says of the family: Transfer RNA (tRNA) molecules are approximately 80 nucleotides in length. Lineage: Bacteria; Bacillati; Bacillota; Clostridia; Eubacteriales; Acutalibacteraceae. The record is from RNAcentral.